RNAcentral lists this ribosomal RNA (515 nucleotides) under uncultured bacterium. RNAcentral's name for it is "bacterial SSU rRNA". It matches the Rfam family "Bacterial small subunit ribosomal RNA", at positions 31 to 518 of the family's 1533-position model. The record is from RNAcentral.
GAACGCUGGCGGCGUGCCUAAUACAUGCAAGUCGAACGGUCUUUUCUAUGGAAGCUUGCUUCCACUGAGAAGAUAGUGGCGAACGGGUGAGUAACACGUGGGUAACCUGCCCAUAAGAGGGGGAUAACAUCCGGAAACGGGUGCUAAUACCGCAUAGUUUUCUUGAUCGCAUGAUCGGGAAAGGAAAGACGGCCUUUGUGCUGUCGCUUAUGGAUGGACCCGCGGCGUAUUAGUUAGUUGGUGAGGUAACGGCUCACCAAGACGAUGAUACGUAGCCGACCUGAGAGGGUGAUCGGCCACAUUGGGACUGAGACACGGCCCAAACUCCUACGGGAGGCAGCAGUAGGGAAUCUUCCGCAAUGGACGAAAGUCUGACGGAGCAACGCCGCGUGAGUGAAAGAAGGUUUUCGGAUCGUAAAACUCUGUUGUCAGAGAAGAACAAGUUGGAGAGUAACUGCUCCAGCCUUGACGGUAUCUGACCAGAAAGCCACGGCUAACUACGUGCCAGCCGCGGC